This 106-nucleotide non-coding RNA is filed under the name marine eukaryotic metagenome. RNAcentral describes it as "Glycine riboswitch". It matches the Rfam family "Glycine riboswitch aptamer", at positions 9 to 86 of the family's 94-position model. From Rfam's summary of the family: This family represents the bacterial glycine riboswitch. The record is from RNAcentral.
UUAGCUCUGGAGAGUGGUCGACGAAGCGGCCCGCCGAAGGGGUAUGUGCCGCACGCCGCGCGCGUGCGUUGCCACGGAUCUCUCAGGUACAAGAGGACAGAGGGGC